Molecule: ribosomal RNA, 253 nt
Filed under: uncultured bacterium
Lineage: Bacteria
Description: partial 16S ribosomal RNA
Rfam family: Bacterial small subunit ribosomal RNA
Source: RNAcentral
UACGUAGGGUGCGAGCGUUGUCCGGAAUUAUUGGGCGUAAAGGGCUCGUAGGCGGUUUGUCGCGUCGGGAGUGAAAUCCACUGGCUUAACUGGUGGCUUGCUUUCGAUACGGGCAGACUGGAGGUAUGCAGGGGAGAACGGAAUUCCUGGUGUAGCGGUGAAAUGCGCAGAUAUCAGGAGGAACACCGGUGGCGAAGGCGGGUCUCUGGGCCAUUACUGACGCUGAGGAGCGAAAGCGUGGGGAGCGAACAGG